This 735-nucleotide ribosomal RNA is filed under the name uncultured Atopobium sp. RNAcentral describes it as "bacterial SSU rRNA". It matches the Rfam family "Bacterial small subunit ribosomal RNA", at positions 28 to 776 of the family's 1533-position model. Lineage: Bacteria; Bacillati; Actinomycetota; Coriobacteriia; Coriobacteriales; Atopobiaceae. The record is from RNAcentral.
GAUGAACGCUGGCGGCGCGCCUAACGCAUGCAAGUCGAACGAUUAAAGCACCUUCGGGUGUGUAUAAAGUGGCGAACGGCUGAGUAACACGUGGGCAACCUGCCCCUCUCAUUGGGAUAGCCACGGGAAACCGUGGAUAAUACCGAAUACUUCGAGACUUCCGCAUGGAAGACUCGAGAAAGCUCCGGCGGAGAGGGAUGGGCCCGCGGCCUGUUAGCUUGUUGGUGGGGUAACGGCCUACCAAGGCAAUGAUGGGUAGCUGGGUUGAGAGACCGACCAGCCAGAUUGGGACUGAGACACGGCCCAGACUCCUACGGGAGGCAGCAGUGGGGAAUCUUGCACAAUGGGCGAAAGCCUGAUGCAGCGACGCCGCGUGCGGGAUGAAGGCCUUCGGGUUGUAAACCGCUUUCAGCAGGGACGAGGCGAAAGUGACGGUACCUGCAGAAGAAGCCCCGGCUAACUACGUGCCAGCAGCCGCGGUAAUACGUAGGGGGCAAGCGUUAUCCGGAUUCAUUGGGCGUAAAGCGCUCGUAGGCGGUCUGUUAGGUCGGGAGUUAAAUCCGGGGGCUCAACCCCCGUUCGCUCCCGAUACCGGCAGACUUGAGUUUGGUAGGGGAAGGUGGAAUUCCUAGUGUAGCGGUGGAAUGCGCAGAUAUUAGGAAGAACACCAGUGGCGAAGGCGGCCUUCUGGGCCAUAACUGACGCUGAGGAGCGAAAGCUAGGGGAGCAAACAGG